Momordica charantia (bitter melon) is the source of this 417-nucleotide non-coding RNA. NCBI's taxonomy places the organism in Eukaryota, Viridiplantae, Streptophyta, Magnoliopsida, Cucurbitales, Cucurbitaceae. The record is from RefSeq and is a predicted model, not a curated record.
UUAAGAAGUAAACAAUAAUCGGAAAUUUGGAAACAGAGUUUUGGUUUAUCCAUGGCGGCGUUUGCGUUCCUGCUACUGCUCCUGCUCCUCCACGAAGCAGCACAGGCACAGCCUCAGAAUUCUUCUCAACCUAUUACUGAUCCCGCCCAAGAUUGGGCAAGCGAUUUGGAAGAUAGAAAAUCCAUGUGGGUACUGUCUACCUAGGUAACAUGGCUUGAGGAGCCACUAUCAGUAUACAGAGAUGGAUCAACCACUACCUCUAUUGCUACAAUAUAAGCCAUCAAUGGCUCCCAUUGUCUGAUUGUGAUUGAGGAUCCAAGUAAUCUUUAUUGAAACAAAACCCAACAACUUAAUGCACCGUGUCCAUAUUUGCCACAUGCUUGGCAAGUUGGUCUAAGACCAUUUUUUUUUACCUAC